Equus caballus (horse) is the source of this 2129-nucleotide non-coding RNA. The record is from RefSeq and is a predicted model, not a curated record. NCBI's taxonomy places the organism in Eukaryota, Metazoa, Chordata, Mammalia, Perissodactyla, Equidae.
GUUCACCAGGAUCUCGAGAUUUCUGCCCUUGAGAAAAGCACAAUACUUCAGACGGCAAGACCAGACUCAGGUACCCCCAGGAUUUAUCCCUCCAUCUUUUCAGGGGCAGAGGCCAGCACUGCCCCCGCCAGAGUGGAGGGGAGGGGAGGCUGCCAGGGAAUUAAUAAACUCCCACCUCUAGACUUGAAAUCAGUGAUUCCUACUUCAAUCACCAUAAUGCACUAUAGUCUAUAGCUUAUUGAGCAAAUAUUUCUUCUAUUCAUCAAGAAUGUCUGUUUUAUAUGAGAAAGGAUUCAGAGAAGUAACUUCCUUUUGAAAACAUCCACCUUAGAGAAGGUAGACCAUAAAGAAGAAGUCUGCUGAAUGCUUGCCGUUCAUGAGUGUGUUUGACUAUGGCAAAAUGUACACUGAGUGGAAAAGUACUACAUACUCAUCAAGGAAAACAGUAGAAGCAGAAAACAGCAAUAUGAACAUUAAAAUUCCUGAGAAUUCCACCAUCCAGUCAUCUUCAUCCUUAAUGCUUAAGCAGGGUGCCUUUCUCUGUUUUCUAUGUCUUCAUAGGAUGUGGUUCCUUCAGCAGAAUUGGGGUUAGGCCAUUAGCACUCAUGAUGCUUCCCUUUCCAUGACUUGUUCAUCUCUUGUCACACUGCUGAGAGUGUUGGGAUAAUCUGUUUGCAAAUAUUUAUAACUGUCAGGCUCAGGGACAUCAGAGCCCUGGUUCACUGCACCCCAGACAGACUUCUUAGUGCAUAGGAAUUAUGUGACAAUUGGCAUCCACUCCCCAUUGCCUGGCAACAGUGCCCCACAUCUCUUGAGAUGAGCCCUCUCCACAGAUACCAGGCACUGUGAUAUGGGUAACAGUCCCUACUUCGUGCUACAAGACCCAAGCAUAAACCAAUCAGGACACUCAAUUCUGACAGGCCUGCUGAUGGUUUGUUUUGGUUCAAGGAAUAUCAAUUCCAGGAACUUUGCUCAAAAUCAUGGGAUAAGAGAAGCUCUGUUUGUCACAGAAUAUUUACAUUGAAAGAGGGGAUUCUAAAUAUUCCAAAAUACGAGCCCAGACUGGUGGCCAGAGAGCAAGUGAGCUUACCAUUUGGGGUUUGUGUGUGUCCAGCUCUACAUGUUAUUAAGGCAGGUCGAGCCUCUAUCUCCCACCACCAAGCCGACCCCCACUACAGCCUUUACCAGCUGGUACCAGCGAUUCUCAGUCUACCCCAGCUGACCGCCAUCUUCUCAAGCGGAGGAGGCAUCACGCUCAUCUCCUUGGAGUUAGCUUGCUAAAUAAUUAUUCAUGACUUUAUCAGGAUGGAAAAAGAGCCAAAAGCUGAGAAAAAGGGACAUUCUUCAUUCGGGCACUGAGGGGCUACUAGUGUCCAAUUCCUCCGCUGGCUGCAGCAAAGGCUCCCCUUUCUUGUUCUUUCCUCUUGCUUUCACUUUGUGACUCAGCACUGGGAGUGCAAGUGUGGUGAGACUGCUUCUUUCACCUACCCAAAGCCAGAGAACUUCGACAAAUCACCUUGCAGAUGAUGCAAGAAAACCAGCAGCACAGGUGGAGGAGGUCUGUAAGUUCCUGGGCCACACCCCUGCCUUCCUCUCCCUGACAAAGUAUUUACAAGGAAGAACGACCAGCAGCUCUGACCUGGGCAGACUUUCAAGGAAGAUGCUCUUGUUGGCUUUUCUUCUGCCCUCUGCACCUGCAACAGCUCAGUCAGGGUGAUUCUGGGGGCCCACGACAUCCUGAUUCAAGAGUGGACCCCGUAGGUCAUCCCUGUGAAAGAAGCCAUCCGCCACUCAGACUAUAUUCCUGGAGACUUCUUCAACGACAUCAUGUUACUAAAGGUGGCCAGGUCCAGGGGGAGCACGGACUCAGUCUUCUGCACUCUUUGUCCAUGUGGCGACUCUGGAAGCCCACUCAUCUGUAAGAACAUGCUCCAGGGUCUUGCCCUCCAUGGACAAGAUGACAGGACAGCUCCACGGCUCUUCAUCCAACUCUCAAGCUUCCUGCCCUGGAUAAAGGAAACCAUGAAAUCCUAUGAAAUGCCUCUAACUGUAGGAACCAGCCCACCUUCUCUGGAGCUGAUCCAGAAUGUCACCAGCAACUAAAUAAAUGUCUCUUAGCUGAGCAGGAA